UCUGGGCACUGGGUGCCAGCUGCCACUCGGGCCUGGGGCUGGCGGCUGGAGAGGAGAAAGAUUGAUCCACUCCACUCCGCCACUGGAGUCGCGGCUUUCCUCGCGGUUUUUACGUAGUGGUAGAAACGUGGCCCUGAAAAGAAUGGCGUCCAUUUACAUAAUGCUUUGUUUGCAUUUUGCAAGUUUAUUUCGGAAAACCCGCAGAAACCCCACCUCCUACCCUAGUGGUGGUUUAGUCAUGGCAGCCUCCAGGCAUUUAAAACAAUAGUGUUCCUCUUGUAGGCCGCAUUCACUCAGGGGUUACCGACUAGUGCUUUGGGGAGCUCCUGUGGCACUCCCCGCACGGCUUGCGCUUCGUAAGGCUUUGCGGUCCUGGCCACCCUUGGUGCAGCCGCCGUGUUCCGCACUUUCCGGGGGUGGCCCCUGACGGGGCCGCCAUUUUGGAAAGCCUUUUCUGCUGUUGGCGCAACUGUACCUUUUCCUUGCUAAAGGAGAAAGAUUGCUCUGGUUGCUGGUGUACUACUUGUUAUUUACCCCUUUUCCCCUACCCUUCAGUUAAGCCAGACAGAAAAGGCCUUGUGCGCAACGUGUUUGAGACUCCCUCAGGGAAAACGACCAACAUGGCGGUCCCUUUGCCCCCCGCCUUUCUUCACGGGGGUAGCCGCCAUGUUUCCUUAACACAAAAUGGCGGCACGUGGCCCGUGUCGCCGCCAACGAGAAAUUGGGGUGGGCAAGAAUGCUCUAGAAUGCGUUCUCGUCAUUCUGCCAUCCCCCGUGCCUGUCGGCCGGGGACCUUCCCCGCGCAGCGAGUCUUCUGAGCACUCCGAUAACAAUUCCCACAGCGUGGUCCAAAACCUGGGAGAAGGGAGGGAGCGAUUUUUAAUUCCGUUCUUACUAAUUUGAACCGCGAAUAUGAACUGUAAAAUGUAGGCAUGAUGAUGCCGUGUCUCUUGCUCACUUUAAAUUUAAUGCAUAGCGAGGGCCGGUACCAAUAGGUAACUUGGACCCUCAAUAACAGACAUUUAGCAAUCACUGCCUUAAGGAGUAAGAGGGGAAAUUACUGCUUCCCUAGUCUUCUAGGACUAGAAAAGUUCAAGAAAUGACGUAUAUAUUUUUAAAAAGUUUCCAUGGAGAUACUAGGAUGCCGAUGAUUUUUUUCAUGGGCAAGCUGGACAGUGAACCUCAGUUUCCCCACAAGCGGUGUUCACUUUUAGUCUAGAAGAGACAGACAUUUAUUGUUCAUUUACCGGUACCAGAUCCUGUACUAGACAUUUUACUGCGUACUACCUAAUUUAUAAUGAUCCUCUGAGGUAGGUGGUGUUAUCUUUCUUUCUCUCUUUUUUUUUUUAACAGACGAGUUCUCUUAGGCCCAGGGAGAUGAAGUGAUUAAUUCAAAGUCACACUGUCAAGAAUGGAAUCCAGACCUCCUUAUUUCCUUAUUGAUCUGCACUGUCUUGUGGAUAGGUGAGUGAAUUCCACACCACCCAUUUUAUAGAUGAAGACAGUGAGAUAAUGGAGCAACUGACUAUAAAUAGUCACCGCCCUAUCCUUGGAGUCUCACAUAUGACUCUUCUCCUCCCAACUUGAGUGCCUUCAGGUUGGUUAAGGUGAGACAUGGUCUUGUGACUGAACAGUAGUUGAGCAUGUAACUCUGGAGCCAGCCUGCUGGGUCCUGAAUUCUGACUCAGUCACUUACUAUGUGACCUUAGAAGAGGGAGACAUACACAGAGAGAAGAUGGCCAGAUGAAGAUGGAGGCAGAGAUUUAAAUUACACUGCUACAAACCAUGAAGGGCAAAGAUAACUGACAGCCAUCAGAAGCUGAAAGAGGCAGCUCCCUAAGCACAUGCUGUUGGAUAAUCCUGCCUGGACCAGUCCCUCCCUCACCUUGGACUUCACAUUUUCCUUUUUACUCCAUCUGCUGAAGCUGCCAUCUAUCCCUUUUCACCCCCAAGGGGUGUCUGGCUCCUGAGACCCCAGCCUGGGCUAGUGCCCUGGGCUCCCUGGGAGUUUGCCAAGAAAAUCAAAUAGAACGUGAACAUUGCUAAGGAAAACUCCCAUGCUGAAUUGUGAUUUAUAGUCAGCAUAGCACAUUGUGCUACUUAGGCCAUUUUAGUUGUAAUAAUCUGCUUUCUGAUCCUGUGUAUGGAAAGCCCAGAGAUUUUCCUGUAGUAUUUCUUCCUGGAUUACUGAGAGAGAACUCAAGACACAGGUUUACUCUGCCUUCUGUAUUAAUCUGGGCCUUGCUGGGACCAUUCAGAGAAGGAUGGUGCAAUUCUGGAAGUAGAGCCCAGGCUUCCUACAGGCUGUUCAAAGGCUAUGACCAUAUUCAAAUCCUGUUGCUGCUUGAUUCCAAAGAGUUUAAAAUAGUGUUGGAAAUCUCCUAGGAAAAAAAGCAUGGUGGUAACUUCUUGGCUAAGGAAGUGGUGCUUGCUGGCCAGAGCAGAAGGAGUAGCCAAGGCUCCCAAGUUUUAUUCUGGACCUGUUGACUUGAGGUGUGAUAUUCAGUAAUCCAAGAUGAUGUUCUGUAGCUCUGAUGGUUUCUCAUCUCAGCAUAGUGAUAUGGGUUGUCUUGCAGGGAGAGAGACCAAUAUACUGGUCCCCUGUCCUCUUGCCAUUAGUUGACCUUCCUUUCAUUUGAAUUUCUAGGCUCCAUUUUUAAAUGCAGAACCUUCUCCCUGCCCCCCAUACACAUGGUUAAUUUAGGAAUCCAGCAAUAUUAUCCACAUUUUACUUUAAUUAAAUUUCAUCAGAAUUGCUUUCCUUUUAUCAUCAUGAUUAGAUCAGGUCUUCUAAGGAAUGAGAACUUUGAUAGGGUUUAGGAAAGAAAGGAAGGGUUUGUGCGGGGCACAUACCUUGGCCUUGUAUAGCCAGAGCGUAACAUGAAGGCACCAGGUGUAUGAUGUGCUAGAUGAGGAAGAACAAAUACAUCCCUGAAGAGCCAGCAUGUAACUAGAUGCUUUUCAUAUAUUUUCUUAUCAUAAUGCAAACCAAUAUUUAUCUCAAUUUUUGCACGUGGGCAAGCUGAAAGAGAAGUUAUGUAACUUGCCCAGGGUCAAACAGCGAAUAAAAGGCUGAACUAGGAUUGAUUUCUACUCAAGUCUGCAAUUCCAAGGCCCAUGCUGUUAUUGUAGAGCUCUUCUAUCUCUGACAAGAUUUAGCAAAGGGGUGUGGGCAGAAAGAGAUGGGGAGACACCAUCUUUCUCUAGUUUUGCUUGUUGAGACCUGUUUAGCCAGAGCAUCCUAUUUAUAGGAUACUAGGUUUUAUAUAGAGAGAUGCUACAACAACAUAUGUGGGAAAAAUACCAAAUGGCUGUAGGGGAAGAUUUAAAAAAGCCUUUAUUCUUUAGCUCUAGUUCACCAUUGCAGUGUAACCCACAAGUGUCAAAACACCACUGGUAACUCUGGUUUAGUGCUUAAGAGGCCCUGUCCUGUCAUUCAGAUAAAAUCUGUUGCUGUAUCCCAAGGAGUAAGCCAUGACAGGGGCAGAGAUGAGGGUGUGGUGUGCGCUUACUGCAUCUACUAGAGCUGGUGGCACCUGUUAUGUGACUAUUGCAGUGAAUUAUUACUGAGUAAACAAGGUGUCUCUCUUUUGUCUUUCUAAGGGAGACCAGAUGGCAGUGGAUUUGGCUCAGAUCCAGGGGAGCCUGGCCUUUGGGCUGGCAGAGUAGACAGCUUGAGAGUGUCAGGUGAUGGAAUAAGAAGAGACAGGGCUGGUCUAUCAAUUGGUGUAAUCUUAGGGGCACCAAGAAUGUGUCCUGCCCCUCAAAGACUUACCUCAGCUAUUUGCCAUUGGUUGGAGUUACACAGUGAGAUUUCAUUCCCUAGAUUUAAGUCUUUGAGACCCUACUAAAAAUGAAGAGACUCCAGGAAGGGGUUUGAUAUGAAGGAUAUUGGUCAUGUAAGUGGAAGUGUCAUUCAAUUUAUGAGAUUAAUCUCUGAGAACUAGACUAAGACAACCGACAGAGAGGAGAGGACACUGUGCUCCCAGUCAUAGCGGCAGGAGGGAGACAACACUGAGUUGGAGAUAAAGGCUCUCUGAAAAGAGAAGUUUGGUCUCUAAAGAAACGUUUCAUUUCCUUUACAGUUUUGUCUGAAAAAAAAAAAUAAAAACAACUAGCAGCUGAGGGUAGGUGGGAUGGAUGCUCUUGAUCCCAAGAGGGGGCUUGGAGCAAAGAUUUCCCACCAGCAUGCUAAGUAUGCAGGCACAGUAUUGUCUGGAGAGCAUCUGACAGGCAGAAUGUGACAAGGACUUUUGGGUCUGUGGUUUGCUGUGACUGUCCUUAGACAAGACCAUCAGAACUUAGGAAGUGUGAAGGAGCUUCCCAGAAAUGACGUCAAAUGGUGGCGCAAAAGAAGCUGCUGCUGACAACAUGGGCAGGGCACUUCCUUAGUGGCCACUGGUCAUAUACAGCUUCUGGUCUUGAUUUCCCAAUGAGCUGUGCAGAGACAGGGCUUUACCGGAAAGCAAAAUAAGCCACGUUAAAAACAGUGACAAAGCACUUGCGGGUGUCCAUGAGAAGGUGCAGUUUCCCCUUGUUCACUGACUUUGUAGAGCCAAAAAGCCACUCCAGAGGCUGCCAGCAUAGCACCUGUGAUUCAGAUCUACAACUUUUUGGCCUGAAUUCCUCCAAACAGAGAGAACCUCCCUUAGUUGGCUUCAUCUCUCAUUUACCAGGCUUCUUAAACUGCCUGUGUGAUCUAAAUUUUCACAUCUUUUUCUCCCCCAGGGGGUCUUUGACAGAGGCAACUCAACUCUCUGCCUUUCCUAGAUCCUCACAGUUGGGUUCAUGGAGGUCUUUCAGUCUCAAGCUUCAACUUCUACUCUGUCCACAUUUGUACCCUAAGUCUAGUACAUUUUCCUUUGAUCAGAUUUUUGGCUUCAUUCAGGCCUCUGGGGUUCUUACUCGUUUCUUUUGGCAUAUUUUCCUAAAGGGCUGUCCUAGGAAUGGUCUCUACCUCUCACCUCCUGAAGUUUUACAGGGUUUGAAUCUGUUUCCUUACUGGAAUUAGCACAGCUCUGGAGAGUUUUCUGGAGGUACCACACUCCAUCCUUUUCCCCUAACUACUGUAGCCCCAUACACAAGAUCUAGUGAUGUAGCUGGAUCUGCUGGUCACUAAGAUUUUGGAGCUAGUACCCCCAGCAGGGAGGGACUUAUGGGCAUGUGUACUGUGCACUGCAUGACAAUCGGUGUCUCCCUUCCGUAAUACAUAUAUUUUGACUUUUUCCUAAGAGGAUCAAGCUUUGUCUAAUUGCCUGCCUGAACCCCCAGCCCUGUUCAAGACUACAACCCUGUUGUCAAUCCCUCACCAGGGGCUGUGGCCUUUGCUUUCCAGCCUUAAUUAGGCUAGGUCCCUUCUCUGAGCCUAGAGCCUUUUCUUGAAUUUAGGCUUUGGUAGGUAGAGUCCUGCUCAUGCACAUAUCUCCCAGUGUUGACCACCCUGAAUUCUGCCUGCUACUUGUUGUCUAAUUGAAUGUCAUGCUGAUCUGUCCAGGUGCCCUUGUGGAACAAGAUUCUUAGCUUAGGCCCCUAUCCUGAAUUUCAUGCUAGCUCUACAGCUGC
This is an RNA transcript of Phyllostomus hastatus (greater spear-nosed bat), 5562 nucleotides long. It is a transcript of the gene named aspartic peptidase retroviral like 1, with no coding region annotated. NCBI's taxonomy places the organism in Eukaryota, Metazoa, Chordata, Mammalia, Chiroptera, Phyllostomidae. The transcript is spliced from 5 exons. The record is from RefSeq and is a predicted model, not a curated record.